GGCAGCGACGGGCGAGCUGGGGGGGGAGGACGUAGGGUGCUAGCGUUAAUGGGAAUUACUGGGCGGAAAGCGGGCGCAGGCGGUAGUGUACGCCAGAUGGGAGAUCCCCGGGCUCGAGCUGGGAAUGGCAUGUGGGACUGCAAGGCGGGAGGGUGGCAGAGGAGACGGGAAGUCCUGGUGUAGCAGUGAAAUGCGUAGAUAGCAGGAGGAAUACCGAUGGCGAAGGCAGGUCUCUGGGCUGACACUGACGCUCAUGCACGAAAGCGUGGGGAGCAAACAGGAUUAGAUACCCGAGUCGUC
RNAcentral lists this ribosomal RNA (300 nucleotides) under uncultured Cruoricaptor sp. RNAcentral's name for it is "bacterial SSU rRNA". It matches the Rfam family "Bacterial small subunit ribosomal RNA", at positions 496 to 795 of the family's 1533-position model. Lineage: Bacteria; Pseudomonadati; Bacteroidota; Flavobacteriia; Flavobacteriales; Weeksellaceae. The record is from RNAcentral.